This 492-nucleotide ribosomal RNA is filed under the name uncultured bacterium. Its description in RNAcentral is "partial 16S ribosomal RNA". It matches the Rfam family "Bacterial small subunit ribosomal RNA", at positions 29 to 507 of the family's 1533-position model. The record is from RNAcentral.
AGUGAACGCUGGCGGUAGGCCUAACACAUGCAAGUCGAACGGCAGCCCAGUAAGAGCUUGCUCUUACGGGUGGCGAGUGGCGGCCGGGUGAGGAAUACAUCGGAAUCUCCUUUUUCGUGGGGGAUAACGUAGGGAAACUUACGCUACUACCGCAUACGACCUACGGGUGAAAGCAGGCGAUCUUCGGACCUUGCGCGAUUGAAUGAGCCGAUGUCGGAUUAGCUAGUUGGCGGGGUAAAGGCCCACCACGGCGACGAUCCGUAGCUGGUCUGACAGGAUGUUCAGCCACACUGGAAGUGAGACACGGUCGAGACUCCGACGGGGGGAAGCAGUGGGGAAUAUUAGACGAUGGGGGAAAGGGUGAUCCAGGAAUACCGCGUGAGUGAAGAAGGCCUUAGGGUUGUAAAGCGCUGUUGUUGGGAAGGAAGAGAAGCAGGUUAGUACCCCGCUGUUAUGACGGUACCCAAAGAAGAAGCACCGGCUAACUUCGUG